This 274-nucleotide non-coding RNA is filed under the name unclassified sequences. The record is from Rfam.
CUGCGCUUGGAAUCGUGAUGUGAAGCUAAUAACUUCUAUCUUGGGCGUAACUAACUGUAUCGACCAGUAAUCAAGGGGUUCUCAAAUACUGGCGUAACGGAUCAAUUAGACAAACGACGUAAUACGGCAGGUUAUAAGCAUAGCCACUUAUAGCCCUAGAAAAGCCUAAUGAACCGCUUUAAAGCGGGUUUAUCAGUGAACCUGAUAGAUAUACCUAAUUGAUUGUCAUCGACGGAGAGGGGCGCUUUAUAAGCGUAUCUGAUGGCACGUGGGG